RNAcentral lists this long non-coding RNA (319 nucleotides) under Elaeis guineensis (African oil palm). RNAcentral's name for it is "long non-coding RNA (EGUI_LNC005484)". The record is from RNAcentral. Lineage: Eukaryota; Viridiplantae; Streptophyta; Magnoliopsida; Arecales; Arecaceae.
UGGUUCAUGGAGUCGAGUCCAACUUUUAAGGAUCGAUGGUUUUGGUCUCUCAUAACAAACCUCCAUCUCAUGGCCAAUCAUAGAAACAAACUUCCUCUGAAGAACGGGAAAACUCCCUCCUACUGGCUCUUUCUCACAUAUCGCCGAGAUUUAAUGCUCAUUUGUUGAUAAUUAGGUAAACCAGUUCGGACUUAAGACGCAAAGAAGACCUCUGGAACGUACCAAAAAUUAGAAAAGACGACCUCUGGAAUAGGCUCUUUCUCGCAAACCAUCGGGAUAUAAUGCACACUUGUCAAUAUCUGGACGAACCAGGUUGAAC